This 541-nucleotide ribosomal RNA is filed under the name Comephorus baikalensis. Its description in RNAcentral is "Comephorus baicalensis partial 16S large subunit ribosomal RNA". It matches the Rfam family "Bacterial large subunit ribosomal RNA", at positions 1846 to 2586 of the family's 2925-position model. The record is from RNAcentral. Lineage: Eukaryota; Metazoa; Chordata; Actinopteri; Perciformes; Cottidae.
UAAGAGGUCCCGCCUGCCCUGUGACUAGUUGUUUAACGGCCGCGGUAUUUUGACCGUGCGAAGGUAGCGCAAUCACUUGUCUUUUAAAUGAAGACCCGUAUGAAUGGCAUAACGAGGGCUUAGCUGUCUCCUCUUUCCAGUCAAUGAAGUUGAUCUUCCCGUGCAGAAGCGGGAAUAUAUUCAUAAGACGAGAAGACCCUAUGGAGCUUUAGACACGAAAGCAGCCCACGUUGAGCACCCCAAAAUAAAGGACUAAACCAAGUGGGCUCUGCCCUAAUGUCUUUGGUUGGGGCGACCGCGGGGAAUUAAAGAACCCCCACGUGGAAUGGGAACACUUUUCCUACAACUGAGAGCUACAGCUCUAGAAAACAGAAUUUCUGACCAAUAAGAUCCGGCAAUGCCGAUCAACGGACCGAGUUACCCUAGGGAUAACAGCGCAAUCCUCUUUUAGAGCCCAUAUCGACAAGGGGGUUUACGACCUCGAUGUUGGAUCAGGACAUCCUAAUGGUGCAGCCGCUAUUAAGGGUUCGUUUGUUCAACG